CCUACGGGAGGCUGCAGUAGGGAAUAUUGCUCAAUGGGGGAAACCCUGAAGCAGCAACGCCGCGUGGAGGAUGAAGGUUUUCGGAUUGUAAACUCCUUUUGUUAGAGAAGAUAAUGACGGUAUCUAACGAAUAAGCACCGGCUAAAUCCGUGCCAGCAGCCGCGGUAAUACGUGGGGGGCAAGCGUUAUCCGGAUUGACUGGGGGUAAAGGGGGCGUAGGUGGCGAGGUAGACCAGAGGUGAAAACCCGGGGCUAACCCCGGCGGAUUGCUUUUGGAACGGCCAGGCGGGAGGGCGGGAGGGGAAGGGGGAAGGCCAGGGGUAGCGGUGAAAUGCAGAGAUAUUGGGAGGAACACCGGUGGCGAAGGCGGCAUAAGGGCCAACAACUGACGCUGAGGCACGAAAGCGUGGGGAGCAAACAGGAUUAGAUACCCCGGUAGUC
Molecule: ribosomal RNA, 441 nt
Filed under: uncultured bacterium
Lineage: Bacteria
Description: partial 16S ribosomal RNA
Rfam family: Bacterial small subunit ribosomal RNA
Source: RNAcentral